UACGUAGGGUGCGAGCGUUAAUCGGAAUUACUGGGCGUAAAGUGUGCGCAGGCGGCAGAGCAAGUCGAGUGUGAAAGCCCCGGGCUUAACUUGGGAAUUGCGCUCGAAACUACUUUGCUGGAGUGUGGCAGAGGAAGGUGGAAUUCCACGUGUAGCGGCGAAAUGCGUAGAGAUGUGGAGGAACACCAAUGGCGAAGGCAGCCUUCUGGGCCAACACUGACGCUCAUGCACGAAAGCGUGGGGAGCAAACAGG
Molecule: ribosomal RNA, 253 nt
Filed under: uncultured bacterium
Lineage: Bacteria
Description: partial 16S ribosomal RNA
Rfam family: Bacterial small subunit ribosomal RNA
Source: RNAcentral